This 86-nucleotide transfer RNA is filed under the name Patescibacteria group bacterium. RNAcentral's name for it is "tRNA-Leu". It matches the Rfam family "tRNA". From Rfam's summary of the family: Transfer RNA (tRNA) molecules are approximately 80 nucleotides in length. Their secondary structure includes four short double-helical elements and three loops (D, anti-codon, and T loops). Further hydrogen bonds mediate the characteristic L-shaped molecular structure. tRNAs have two regions of fundamental functional importance: the anti-codon, which is responsible for specific mRNA codon recognition, and the 3' end, to which the tRNAs corresponding amino acid is attached (by aminoacyl-tRNA synthetases). tRNAs cope with the degeneracy of the genetic code in two manners: having more than one tRNA (with a specific anti-codon) for a particular amino acid; and 'wobble' base-pairing, i.e. permitting non-standard base-pairing at the 3rd anti-codon position. The record is from RNAcentral.
GCCCGGGUGGUGGAAUGGUAUACACGGCAGACUUAAAAUCUGCUGACCGCAAGGUCGUGCGGGUUCGACUCCCGCCCCGGGCACCA